Molecule: ribosomal RNA, 861 nt
Filed under: Lactiplantibacillus plantarum
Lineage: Bacteria; Bacillati; Bacillota; Bacilli; Lactobacillales; Lactobacillaceae
Description: Lactobacillus plantarum partial 23S ribosomal RNA
Rfam family: Bacterial large subunit ribosomal RNA
Source: RNAcentral
UACCCGCGACAGGACGGAAAGACCCCAUGGAGCUUUACUGUAGCUUGAUAUUGAGUGUUUGUACAGCUUGUACAGGAUAGGUAGGAGCCAUAGAAACCGGAACGCUAGUUUCGGUGGAGGCGUUGGUGGGAUACUACCCUCGCUGUAUGACCACUCUAACCCGCACCACUAAUCGUGGUGGGAGACAGUGUCAGGUGGGCAGUUUGACUGGGGCGGUCGCCUCCUAAAAAGUAACGGAGGCGCCCAAAGGUUCCCUCAGAAUGGUUGGAAAUCAUUCGCAGAGUGUAAAGGCACAAGGGAGCUUGACUGCGAGACAGACAGGUCGAGCAGGGACGAAAGUCGGGCUUAGUGAUCCGGUGGUACCGUAUGGAAGGGCCAUCGCUCAACGGAUAAAAGCUACCCUGGGGAUAACAGGCUUAUCUCCCCCAAGAGUCCACAUCGACGGGGAGGUUUGGCACCUCGAUGUCGGCUCAUCGCAUCCUGGGGCUGUAGUCGGUCCCAAGGGUUGGGCUGUUCGCCCAUUAAAGCGGUACGCGAGCUGGGUUCAGAACGUCGUGAGACAGUUCGGUCCCUAUCCGUCGCGGGCGUAGGAAAUUUGAGAGGACCUGUCCUUAGUACGAGAGGACCGGGAUGGACAUACCUCUGGUGUACCAGUUGUGCCGCCAGGCGCAUCGCUGGGUAGCUACGUAUGGAUGUGAUAAACGCUGAAAGCAUCUAAGUGUGAAACACACCUCGAGAUGAGAUUUCCCAUUCCUUUAUGGAAGUAAGACCCCUGAAAGAUGAUCAGGUAGAUAGGUUAGAAGUGGCAGUGCGGUGACGCAUGAAGCGGACUAAUACUAAUCGGUCGAGGACUUAACCAAG